RNAcentral lists this ribosomal RNA (301 nucleotides) under uncultured bacterium. RNAcentral describes it as "partial 16S ribosomal RNA". It matches the Rfam family "Bacterial small subunit ribosomal RNA", at positions 509 to 808 of the family's 1533-position model. The record is from RNAcentral.
CAGCGCCGCGGUAAUACGGAGGGGGCUAGCGUUGUUCGGAAUUACUGGGCGUAAAGCGCACGUAGGCGGCUUGGUAAGUUAGAGGUGAAAGCCUGGAGCUCAACUCCAGAAUUGCCUUUAAGACUGCCGAGCUAGCAGGUGAGAGAGGUAAGUGGAAUUCCGAGUGUAGAGGUGAAAUUCGUAGAUAUUCGGAAGAACACCAGUGGCGAAGGCGGCUUACUGGCUCAUACUGGACGCUGAGGCACGAAAGCGUGGGGAGCAAACAGGAUUAGAUACCCCUGUAGUCCCUGUCUCUUAUACA